UUGGAAACGGCGACGGCGGACAAGAAGGGGCAGGCGGCAGACUGUUGCCGCAGAGCGGAGGGGGGAGAGCGGC
This 73-nucleotide non-coding RNA is filed under the name uncultured eukaryote. The record is from RNAcentral.